UACGGAAGGCAGCAGUGGGGAAUAUUGCACAAUGGGCGCAAGCCUGAUGCAGCCAUGCCGCGUGUAUGAAGAAGGCCUUCGGGUUGUAAAGUACUUUCAGUCGUGAGGAAGGUGUUAAGGUUAAUAACCUUAGCAAUUGACGUUAGCGACAGAAGAAGCACCGGCUAACUCCGUGCCAGCAGCCGCGGUAAUACGGAGGGUGCGAGCGUUAAUCGGAAUUACUGGGCGUAAAGGGCACGCAGGCGGUUAAUUAAGUUGGAUGUGAAAUCCCCGGGCUUAACCUGGGAAUGGCAUUCAAGACUGGUUAGCUAGAGUCUUGUAGAGGGGGUAGAAUUCCAUGUGUAGCGGUGAAAUGCGUAGAGAUGUGGAGGAAUACCGGGUGGCGAAGGCGGCCCCUGGGACAAGGACUGACGCUCAUGUGCGAAAGCGUGGGGAGCAAACGAGGAUUAGAUACC
This 455-nucleotide ribosomal RNA is filed under the name uncultured bacterium. RNAcentral describes it as "bacterial SSU rRNA". It matches the Rfam family "Bacterial small subunit ribosomal RNA", at positions 340 to 786 of the family's 1533-position model. The record is from RNAcentral.